Molecule: non-coding RNA, 789 nt
Organism: Oryctolagus cuniculus (rabbit)
Lineage: Eukaryota; Metazoa; Chordata; Mammalia; Lagomorpha; Leporidae
Source: RefSeq, a predicted model, not a curated record
CCCAUCCCAGCGUGGCAGGGGAGAGGCUGGGAGCUGUCAGCUCCUGGCACGGCAGCCACGGCCUCGUCGCUAGCAGUGAUUGCCAUGUACUGAUGCUUGGCCCAUCUGAAGUCCUCCAAGAACUCCUUCACUAUUGUCGUCCUUAUUUCACCGAGAAGAUUCGCACCUUGCCCACAGUAGGACGUGAUACCAUGAGAAAACCUGAUUUUCUAGAGGAAAUGCAGAAGGAGGACUGCUGCCUUGAGGAAGAGUUACAGAGAGAGAAAGAGAGGGAGAGAAAGAGAGAGAGAGAGAAUGUUCCAUCUGCUGGUUCACUCCCCAAGUGGCCACAACACCUGGGGCUAGACCGGGCCAAAGCCAGGAGCCAGGAGCCAGGAACCAGGAGCUUCUUCCAGGGCUCCCACUUGGAUGCAGGAUCCCAAGCACUUGGGCCAUCUUCCACUGCUUUCUCAGGCCAUAGCAGGCAGUUGGAUCAGAAGUGGAGCAGCUGGGACAUAAACCAGUUCCCACAUGGGGUGCUGACAUCGCAGGAGGCAGCUUAACCUGCUAAGCCACAGUGCUGCCCCAAGAUGAGGUAUAUUAAUGCACAGCUUUGCUUGCUUCCUUUCACACAGUCAAGAAUAGGCAUUUUCUAGGCCUGAUCUAGUUUUUGCAGGGAAAUUGCUCAAUAAAAGGGUACUUGAAAAAGUGUGUGCACAAACGGAAUUAAAAGAUGUUUAAUUUGGAACUAAAACUUUUGAAAUACAUAGUUUUUUUUUUCAUAAUAUGCACAUUCUGUGACCCUGUAAA